AGAGUUUGAUCCUGGCUCAGGAUGAACGCUAGCGGCAAGCCUAACACAUGCAAGUCGAACGGUAACUUUUGGUGCUUGCACCGAAAGACGAGUGGCGAACGGGUGCGUAACGCGUAUGCAAUCUGCCUUUUACUAGGGUAUAGCCCAGAGAAAUUUGGAUUAAUCCCCUAUAAUAUCAUUUAAUCGCAUGAUUUUAUGAUUAAAGCUUCGGCGGUAAAAGAUGAGCAUGCGUCCUAUUAGUUAGUAGGUGAGGUAACGGCUCACCUAGACUCCGAUAGGUAGGGGUCCUGAGAGGGAGAUCCCCCACACUGGUACUGAGACACGGACCAGACUCCUACGGGAGGCAGCAGUGAGGAAUAUUGGACAAUGGACGAAAGUCUGAUCCAGCUAUGCCGCGUGCAGGAUGACGGCCCUAUGGGUUGUAAACUGCUUUUAUACAGGAAGAAAAACUCCGACGUGUCGGAACUUGACGGUACUGUAAGAAUAAGGAUCGGCUAACUCCGUGCCAGCAGCCGCGGUAAUACGGAGGAUCCAAGCGUUAUCCGGAAUCAUUGGGUUUAAAGGGUCCGUAGGCGGUUUUUUAAGUCAGAGGUGAAAUCCUGCAGCUCAACUGUAGAAUUGCCUUUGAUACUGAAAGACUUGAGUUAUUGUGAAGUGGUUAGAAUGUGUGGUGUAGCGGUGAAAUGCGUAGAUAUCACACAGAAUACCAAUUGCGAAGGCAGAUCACUAACAAUAUACUGACGCUCAGGGACGAAAGCGUGGGUAGCGAACAGGAUUAGAUACCCUGGUAGUCCACGCCGUAAACGAUGGAUACUAGCUGUAUGUCUACUUCAGGUAGAUGUGUGGCUAAGCGAAAGUGAUAAGUAUCCCACCUGGGGAGUACGAUCGCAAGAUUGAAACUCAAAGGAAUUGACGGGGGCCCGCACAAGCGGUGGAGCAUGUGGUUUAAUUCGAUGAUACGCGAGGAACCUUACCAGGGCUUAAAUGUAACGGGACAGG
This 999-nucleotide ribosomal RNA is filed under the name uncultured Bacteroidota bacterium. Its description in RNAcentral is "bacterial SSU rRNA". It matches the Rfam family "Bacterial small subunit ribosomal RNA", at positions 8 to 999 of the family's 1533-position model. Lineage: Bacteria; Pseudomonadati; Bacteroidota. The record is from RNAcentral.